This 64-nucleotide microRNA precursor is filed under the name Marmota monax (woodchuck). Lineage: Eukaryota; Metazoa; Chordata; Mammalia; Rodentia; Sciuridae. The record is from RNAcentral.
UGUGUGUGUGUGUGUGUGUGUGUGUAUACGUGUGCGUGCAUGCACACACACACACACACACACA